UCAUUUUGAUUUUCUUCGUGUGCCAUAAGACACAAGUUUGCGGUCUCGUUUUCUUCUCCAUCACUUGAUUCGUUUCCGGAGUCACCUCCCCAAGAGAUGUAUGCUCUUUGUUUCUUGAAUGAUUUCUUCUCCUUUUUGAUGUUUGGACAAUUUGAUUUGAUAUGCCCGAUUUCUCCGCAUCCGUCGCACUUCAAUUGGUCGCCUUGUUGCUUACCUUUU
RNAcentral lists this long non-coding RNA (219 nucleotides) under Nicotiana benthamiana. Its description in RNAcentral is "long non-coding RNA (NBEN_LNC034027)". Lineage: Eukaryota; Viridiplantae; Streptophyta; Magnoliopsida; Solanales; Solanaceae. The record is from RNAcentral.